RNAcentral lists this transfer RNA (61 nucleotides) under Bathymodiolus puteoserpentis. RNAcentral's name for it is "tRNA-Val". The record is from RNAcentral. Lineage: Eukaryota; Metazoa; Mollusca; Bivalvia; Mytilida; Modiolidae.
AAAAUAGAAUAAUUAAGUUCAUUUCGUUUACACUGAAAGGGUCAAUAUAUUUAGUUGUUUU